UACGUAGGGACCGAGCGUUGUCCGGAUUUAUUGGGCGUAAAGAGCGUGUAGGCGGCCAUACAGGUCCGUUGUGAAAACUCGAGGCUCAACCUCGAGACGUCGAUGGAAACCGUAUGGCUAGAGUCCGGAAGAGGAGAGUGGAAUUCCGUGGUGUAGCGGUGAAAUGCGCAGAUAUCAGGAAGAACACCCGUGGCGAAGGCGGCUCUCUGGGACGGUACUGACGCUGAGACGCGAAAGCGUGGGGAGCGAACAGG
This 254-nucleotide ribosomal RNA is filed under the name uncultured bacterium. Its description in RNAcentral is "partial 16S ribosomal RNA". It matches the Rfam family "Bacterial small subunit ribosomal RNA", at positions 524 to 776 of the family's 1533-position model. The record is from RNAcentral.